AACGGCCGUACCAUGCUGAAUAUACCGGUUCUCGUUUUAGAUCACCGAAGUUAAGCAUCAUUGGGCGCGGUCAGUACUUGGGUGGGUGACCACCUGGGAACACUGCGUGCCGUU
RNAcentral lists this ribosomal RNA (114 nucleotides) under Caerostris darwini. Lineage: Eukaryota; Metazoa; Arthropoda; Arachnida; Araneae; Araneidae. The record is from RNAcentral.